RNAcentral lists this transfer RNA (85 nucleotides) under Felis catus (domestic cat). It matches the Rfam family "tRNA". Rfam says of the family: Transfer RNA (tRNA) molecules are approximately 80 nucleotides in length. Lineage: Eukaryota; Metazoa; Chordata; Mammalia; Carnivora; Felidae. The record is from Rfam by way of RNAcentral.
GCCUACGUGGCUCAGUCAGUUGAGCGUCUGACUUCGGCUCAGGUCGUGAUCUCACGGUUUGUGAGUUCGAGCCCCCUCUUGGGCU